UUCUGGCUCAGGAUGAACGCUGGCGGCGUGCCUAAUACAUGCAAGUCGAACGGCUUUUCUAUGGAAGCUUGCUUCCACUGAGAAGAUAGUGGCGAACGGGUGAGUAACACGUGGGUAACCUGCCCAUAAGAGGGGGGAUAACAUCCGGAAACGGGUGCUAAUACCGCAUAGUUUUCUUGAUCGCAUGAUCGGGAAAGGAAAGACGGCCUUUGUGCUGUCGCUUAUGGAUGGACCCGCGGCGUAUUAGUUAGUUGGUGAGGUAACGGCUCACCAAGACGAUGAUACGUAGCCGACCUGAGAGGGUGAUCGGCCACAUUGGGACUGAGACACGGCCCAAACUCCUACGGGAGGCAGCAGUAGGGAAUCUUCCGCAAUGGACGAAAGUCUGACGGAGCAACGCCGCGUGAGUGAAAGAAGGUUUUCGGAUCGUAAAACUCUGUUGUCAGAGAAGAACAAGUUGGAGAGUAACUGCUCCAGCCUUGACGGUAUCUGACCAGAAAGCCACGGCUAACUACGUGCCAGCCGCCGC
Molecule: ribosomal RNA, 529 nt
Filed under: uncultured bacterium
Lineage: Bacteria
Description: bacterial SSU rRNA
Rfam family: Bacterial small subunit ribosomal RNA
Source: RNAcentral